GACGAACGCUGGCGGCGUGCCUAAUACAUGCAAGUCGAGCGAAUGAUGAAGAAGCUUGCUUCUUCUGAUUUAGCGGCGGACGGGUGAGUAACACGUGGGCAACCUACCCAGUAGAUUGGGAUAACUCCGGGAAACCGGGGCUAAUACCGAAUAAUCCGUUUGUCACAUGGCAAAAUGCUGAAAGGCGGUUUCGGCUGUCACUACUAGAUGGGCCCGCGGUGCAUUAGCUAGUUGGUGGGGUAAUGGCCUACCAA
RNAcentral lists this ribosomal RNA (254 nucleotides) under uncultured bacterium. Its description in RNAcentral is "partial 16S ribosomal RNA". It matches the Rfam family "Bacterial small subunit ribosomal RNA", at positions 28 to 271 of the family's 1533-position model. The record is from RNAcentral.